RNAcentral lists this ribosomal RNA (301 nucleotides) under uncultured bacterium. Its description in RNAcentral is "partial 16S ribosomal RNA". It matches the Rfam family "Bacterial small subunit ribosomal RNA", at positions 510 to 808 of the family's 1533-position model. The record is from RNAcentral.
AGUCGCCGCGGGAAUACAGAGGGUGCGAGCGUUAAUCGGAUUUACUGGGCGUAAAGCGUGCGUAGGCGGCUUCUUAAGUCGGAUGUGAAAUCCCUGAGCUUAACUUAGGAAUUGCAUUCGAUACUGGGAAGCUAGAGUAUGGGAGAGGAUGGUAGAAUUCCAGGUGUAGCGGUGAAAUGCGUAGAGAUCUGGAGGAAUACCGAUGGCGAAGGCAGCCAUCUGGCCUAAUACUGACGCUGAGGUACGAAAGCAUGGGGAGCAAACAGGAUUAGAUACCCCUGUAGUCCCUGUCUCUUAUACA